This 440-nucleotide ribosomal RNA is filed under the name uncultured bacterium. RNAcentral's name for it is "partial 16S ribosomal RNA". It matches the Rfam family "Bacterial small subunit ribosomal RNA", at positions 338 to 795 of the family's 1533-position model. The record is from RNAcentral.
CCUACGGGUGGCAGCAGUGGGAAAUAUUGCACAAUGGUGGAAACCCUGAUGCAGCGACGCCGCGUGAGUGAAGAAGUAACUCGUUAUGUAAAGCUCUAUUAGCAGGGAAGAAAAUGAUGGUACCUGAGUCAGAAGCCCCGGCUAACUACGUGCCAGCAGCCGCGGUAAGACGUAGGGGGCAAGCGUUAUCCGGAUUUACUGGGUGUAAAGGGAGCGUAGACGGCAGUGCAAGUCUGGAGUGAAAGGCGGGGGGUCAACCCCCGGACGGCUGUGGAAACUGGACGGCUGGAGUGCAGGAGAGGUAAGUGGAAUGCCUGGUGUAGCGGUGAAAUGCGUAGAUAUUAGGAGGAACACCAGUGGCGAAGGCGGCUUGCUGGACUGUAACUGACGUUGAGGCACGAAAGCGUGGGGAGCAAACAGGAUUAGAUACCCGAGUAGUC